This 255-nucleotide ribosomal RNA is filed under the name uncultured bacterium. RNAcentral's name for it is "partial 16S ribosomal RNA". It matches the Rfam family "Bacterial small subunit ribosomal RNA", at positions 524 to 776 of the family's 1533-position model. The record is from RNAcentral.
UACGGUAGGGUGCGAGCGUUAUCCGGAUUCACUGGGUUUAAAGGGUGCGUAGGCGGUUUGUCGCGUCGGGAGUGAAAACCCAGGGCUUAACUCUGGGCUUGCUUUCGAUACGGGGCAGACUAGAGGCAUGCAGGGGAGAACGGAAUUCCUGGUGUAGCGGUGAAAUGCGCAGAUAUCAGGAGGAACACCGGUGGCGAAGGCGGUUCUCUGGGCCGAUACUGACGCUGAGGAGCGAAAGCGUGGGGAGCGAACAGG